RNAcentral lists this ribosomal RNA (466 nucleotides) under uncultured bacterium. Its description in RNAcentral is "partial 16S ribosomal RNA". It matches the Rfam family "Bacterial small subunit ribosomal RNA", at positions 28 to 507 of the family's 1533-position model. The record is from RNAcentral.
GACGAACGCUGGCGGCACGCCUAACACAUGCAAGUCGAACGAGCGAGAGAGAGCUUGCUUUCUUGAGCGAGUGGCGAACGGGUGAGUAACGCGUGAGGAACCUGCCUCAAAGAGGGGGACAACAGUUGGAAACGACUGCUAAUACCGCAUAAGCCCACGGUGCCGCAUGGCACAGAGGGAAAAGGAGCAAUCCGCUUUGAGAUGGCCUCGCGUCCGAUUAGCUAGUUGGUGAGGUAACGGCCCACCAAGGCGACGAUCGGUAGCCGGACUGAGAGGUUGAACGGCCACAAUGGGACUGAGACACGGCCCAGACUCCUACGGGAGGCAGCAGUAGGGAAUAUUGCGCAAGGGGGGAAACCCUGAUGCAGCGACGCCGCGUGGAGGAAGAAGGUCUUCGGAUUGUAAACUCCUGUUGUUGGGGAAGAUAAUGACGGUACCCAACAAGGAAGUGACGGCUAACUACGUG